UGGGGAAUAUUGCACAAUGGGCGCAAGCCUGAUGCAGCCAUGCCACGUGUAUGAAGAAGGCCUUCGGGUUGUAAAGUACUUUCAGCGGGGAGGAAGGGAGUAAAGUUAAUACCUUUGCUCAUUGACGUUACCCGCAGAAGAAGCACCGGCUAACUCCGUGCCAGCAGCCGCGGUAAUACGGAGGGUGCAAGCGUUAAUCGGAAUUACUGGGCGUAAAGCGCACGCAGGCGGUUUGUUAAGUCAGAUGUGAAAUCCCCGGGCUCAACCUGGGAACUGCAUCUGAUACUGGCAAGCUUGAGUCUCGUAGAGGGGGGUAGAAUUCCAGGUGUAGCGGUGAAAUGCGUAGAGAUCUGGAGGAAUACCGGUGGCGAAGGCGGCCCCCUGGACGAAGACUGACGCUCAGGUGCGAAAGCGUGGGGAGCAAACGGG
This 429-nucleotide ribosomal RNA is filed under the name Chloroflexota bacterium. RNAcentral's name for it is "Chloroflexi bacterium partial 16S ribosomal RNA". It matches the Rfam family "Bacterial small subunit ribosomal RNA", at positions 355 to 776 of the family's 1533-position model. Lineage: Bacteria; Bacillati; Chloroflexota. The record is from RNAcentral.